Molecule: ribosomal RNA, 1496 nt
Filed under: Acinetobacter rhizosphaerae
Lineage: Bacteria; Pseudomonadati; Pseudomonadota; Gammaproteobacteria; Moraxellales; Moraxellaceae
Description: bacterial SSU rRNA
Rfam family: Bacterial small subunit ribosomal RNA
Source: RNAcentral
AGAGUUUGAUCAUGGCUCAGAUUGAACGCUGGCGGCAGGCUUAACACAUGCAAGUCGAGCGGAGUGAUGGUGCUUGCACUAUCACUUAGCGGCGGACGGGUGAGUAAUGCUUAGGAAUCUGCCUAUUAGUGGGGGACAACAUUUCGAAAGGAAUGCUAAUACCGCAUACGUCCUACGGGAGAAAGCAGGGGAUCUUCGGACCUUGCGCUAAUAGAUGAGCCUAAGUCGGAUUAGCUAGUUGGUGGGGUAAAGGCCUACCAAGGCGACGAUCUGUAGCGGGUCUGAGAGGAUGAUCCGCCACACUGGGACUGAGACACGGCCCAGACUCCUACGGGAGGCAGCAGUGGGGAAUAUUGGACAAUGGGCGCAAGCCUGAUCCAGCCAUGCCGCGUGUGUGAAGAAGGCCUUAUGGUUGUAAAGCACUUUAAGCGAGGAGGAGGCUACUGAAGUUAAUACCUUCAGAUAGUGGACGUUACUCGCAGAAUAAGCACCGGCUAACUCUGUGCCAGCAGCCGCGGUAAUACAGAGGGUGCAAGCGUUAAUCGGAUUUACUGGGCGUAAAGCGCGCGUAGGCGGCUAAUUAAGUCAAAUGUGAAAUCCCCGAGCUUAACUUGGGAAUUGCAUUCGAUACUGGUUAGCUAGAGUGUGGGAGAGGAUGGUAGAAUUCCAGGUGUAGCGGUGAAAUGCGUAGAGAUCUGGAGGAAUACCGAUGGCGAAGGCAGCCAUCUGGCCUAACACUGACGCUGAGGUGCGAAAGCAUGGGGAGCAAACAGGAUUAGAUACCCUGGUAAUCCAUGCCGUAAACGAUGUCUACUAGCCGUUGGGGCCUUUGAGGCUUUAGUGGCGCAGCUAACGCGAUAAGUAGACCGCCUGGGGAGUACGGUCGCAAGACUAAAACUCAAAUGAAUUGACGGGGGCCCGCACAAGCGGUGGAGCAUGUGGUUUAAUUCGAUGCAACGCGAAGAACCUUACCUGGCCUUGACAUAGUAAGAACUUUCCAGAGAUGGAUUGGUGCCUUCGGGAACUUACAUACAGGUGCUGCAUGGCUGUCGUCAGCUCGUGUCGUGAGAUGUUGGGUUAAGUCCCGCAACGAGCGCAACCCUUUUCCUUAUUUGCCAGCGAGUAAUGUCGGGAACUUUAAGGAUACUGCCAGUGACAAACUGGAGGAAGGCGGGGACGACGUCAAGUCAUCAUGGCCCUUACGGCCAGGGCUACACACGUGCUACAAUGGUCGGUACAAAGGGUUGCUACCUAGCGAUAGGAUGCUAAUCUCAAAAAGCCGAUCGUAGUCCGGAUUGGAGUCUGCAACUCGACUCCAUGGAGUCGGAAUCGCUAGUAAUCGCGGAUCAGAAUGCCGCGGUGAAUACGUUCCCGGGCCUUGUACACACCGCCCGUCACACCAUGGGAGUUUGUUGCACCAGAAGUAGGUAGUCUAACCGCAAGGAGGACGCUUACCACGGUGUGGCCGAUGACUGGGGUGAAGUCGUAACAAGGUA